CUCCUCCACACAAUACCCCCAGCUCGGUCUCCAUAGCGCGCUGCACCUUAAGCGCUGGACCUCCCUUCAACACUCUGUCGCGCCCUACCUCUCUGCCCAACCCCACGACCACCUGUACCCUCCGAACAAUGUCGGAACGUCUCCUCAUGGCCGGUGCGGCGGAAUCGGUGUUCACCCGGGGGUGGAGCUCGCGGCAUGGCCGCCAUUGCCGCUGGGCAUAGAAAUUGGACCUCGCUACUUCACAAUAGUCGGUAAAUCCUGCACUGUCGUGUUCGCCAUGUCCCCAGCCUCGUAUUACAUCAACCAAUUUCGUGAAUCGGGCACUUGGCGUCGUACCAGGGGGGGUGCUCGCUGGCUUUCUCUGCCACGAGCGUAUUACCGUGGCCGCCUUCGGCCGGCGUGGGGAGGAAGAACUGGGUGGACCGUUGGAUGAAUAGUGGAUGACCCAGAUUGGAACCGCGUGUACCCCUUCGACUAGGAUUAAUCUGGGUCGUCGAUCCGUACGCCAGCGGUUUGGAUCUAAUCUAACGCGUAUUGUUUCGUUGAUCGGGUGCUGACCCUCGGAUUCGGAUCGGGUGGUCUGAGUGCUCAGGCGGCCGCGAUCUAAUCUAGAUGGUUGGAUCAGAUCGGGCGGCUGAGAUUGAAGCGUACCCCUUCGGCUGGGAUUUUAUGCAAAGGAGCCCCCGCAAAAUCCCAUAACCAACCCGCCAUCCGCGCAGUGAGAAUAUGAGUCUUGGAGAAAUAUACAAAUUAGCCCCUGCACUUCUUUGAUUUUGGCGCGCAGUCCAGAGGGAGAGAAAAAUAGAGAAAUAAAUAGGGAAAUUGAUUUUUAGUACAAAAAUAAAUUCAUAAACUUGUUUAAUUCAUAUUUAAUUCAUUCUAACUCCGAAUUAACCCAUUCCAGUUCCUAUAAUUUUGUAAUAUUAUUGUUUAUCAUUUAGUGCCACUGUUUUGACAUAAAAGGCACCUUAAAAUUGUUAUCUUAAUUAAUCUUGAACAAAGCACAUAAAAUCUUUAGAAAUCCAUAACUUAAAAUCUAUAACUCCAAAAUUAAUAAUUCCUGUUCCUGUGAUCUUAUUUUAAUGUCUAGAUUAUUACUGUGUAUUUUAUUUACAUGCUUGGUGUAAUGUUAAUUUUGCCUAUACCAUGUUUGUUUGUAUUGCUACGACUAGAGCGAGGAUACGUGUCAUCUGAAAAGCAAGUUGGUACCUGGAUUCUCAAGUCCCAGGCAAGUUGUGCCCUUGAUCACUUCUUUUUACCCACUCAUGUUCUAAUUAAUCAUAAUGAUCUGCAUAGGUUAAUUUUGAUGGGACCCAAUAGGUUACCCUAGUUUGAUUAUCUUUAUACCUUGUUUACCACUGAACUUUUUGGGUAGUACUUGCUAGUGCUUUAUGUGGUUUUGGGUAUGAAGAUACAUUAUUCAUGAUCACGCUUUUAUUAUCUGUUUAUUAUCACUGUUCAUGAUAAGAUCAUUAUGUUAAUUGGAACAUGGAGCGACCACCCGGGAAAACAGUGCUACCACAAGGGUUUAAUGGGACGCCCUUGGCUGAUUAAUUAGGAAAGCUAGUGGAGGACUACCUUACCCGAAAGGGGCAAGGGCAGUAGGGGAGUGGUCAGUGUAGGGAGGCCCUCGGGAGGAUUUUGCUGCGAUGGCGGUCCUGCAAGGGAUUCCUGCAUUGGAGCUUCCUAUAAACUGUAGCGGGUUUUCUGAAGCUAGUGGAACUUUGUAAAGGCCUCGUAGUGUUACCCUGCCUCGCCUCCUCGGUAGAGGUGUAUGGGAAGUCGCGAUCCCUUGGCAGAUGGGUAACAUGACUUGUGGGUAAAGAUGCGCAACCUCUGCAGAGUGUAAAACUGGUAUACUAGCCGUGCUCACGGUCAUGAGCAGCUCGGACCCUCACAUGAUUAAUUUAUGGAACUUAAAUUCAAUUUGUCAUAUGCAUUGCAUCGCAGGUGAUGUUGUUACUUCUGUUCUACUAUUUAAUUGGGUUGGUAUUUACUUAUACUUAGUAAUUGCUAAUAAAAUUUUGACCAACUUUAAAAGCAAUGCUCAGCUCUAACCAUCCGCUUUGGUAAGCCUUACACUUCACGUGAGCUCCCACCUUUGGCGAGUUCAUGCACAUUAUUCCCCACAACUUGUUGAGCGAUGAACGUAUGUGAGCUCACUCUUGCUGUCUCACACCCCCCACAGGUCAAGAACAGGUACCGCAGGAUGAGGCGCUUGGAGGAUGCUGCGAUGAGUUCGUAAGAGAGAUCUAGGCCGUCGUCUCCCAGUCAACUUUGGGUUGCUGGACCGUUGUCUCCUUAUAAUGUAAUUAUUUAUUUUGUAUAGAAUUCUUGUUAUGUAGUAAUGAUGUGACAUUCGAUCCUGUGCCAUGAUUCAUCAUAUGUGUGAGACUUGGUCCCAGCACACCUGGUGAUUAUGUUCGCGCCCGGGUCUUGGUGCCCCUGAAAUCCGGGUGUGACAGAAGUGGUAUCAGAGGAAUGUUGACUGUAGGACGAAACCUAGAUAGAACUGGACAACCAUUGUCUACUUACCUUUGCUACUCUGAUUCUUUCUAAACUUAUCUUAAUCCUUUCUCAUCUAAUUCCGCUUACUCUGAUUAUUCUUACCUUUUCCUUCUAAAGACAAAUGUGGAUUUCACACUUUGAAAUCUCGUGCCUAAAGUGAUCUUUAGGAAUAGGAGACCUAUUCUUAGGAACAAAAACAAAACUAUAUUUUUUUCUAUGUGUUUGAAUGUUUGUUCUUAUGAUACUUGUCUGAUUUGGAUCUUUGAUUGAUUGUGAUGGGUUGUAGAGUAAUGUCCAUAAUUACAUCUACAUAUACGUAUAGAUAUAAAUAAAUAAAAUUUAUAAGAUAACUACACAACCCAGAUUAUCCUCCAUUAAAAUGUAUCUAAUUUAAAUAAGAUCCAUCUUAUCUUAAAAGACUCUCUCUUAUCUUGAUAUAUUCAUCUUAUCUUAAUAUAUUCUCUCUUAUCUUAAUAGAUUAAUCUUAUCUUGUAGGAUUCAUCAUAUCCUAACCACUCUACUCAUCUCCUCCUAAAGCAACCACAAGGAUCUAAUCCAAAAUAAUAAGAUCUUAUCUAGUCUAAUCUAGUCACACGAAAAUAACUUAGAUGUGAUAGAUUGAUCUAACCUAACGAAGGCUAACCUCAAGUUGAGCUAAUCUCAUGUGAGCAAGUUGGAUAAUGCUGGUGGCAUAAAUUAGACCCUACCCCUAUAAACAUGAUUAACCUAAACCGGUUCCCUAUAUUAGCUCAGCCAUAUACAAGUACUUGACUGAUGCGUUGGGUUGCAAAAUCUGUAUAGAUCAACAUAUAAAAUUAUAAGCACCCAAGAUUUUCAACUAUCAUAACUUAUCCUACUCACAUCUACCUACUUGUCCCUAAUUUGGAUAACAACUCCAAGGAUGAAGACCAAAGAUGAUCGACCUCAUCAAAUCAAGGAAAGAUAGGAUUCAAGCCGGAUCUUAAAGGAACCAAGAUCCAUAGUUCUAGAUGAAGUUUGUCCUUAUUAUACCCUUGCCAUAACCGUGCCUCAUUUGACCUAAUAAAUGGCUAGACCUACAAUAUUCAUAUUUUCCAAAUCAUCUACUAAUUGUUAUGUAAAAACUUGAACAAAACUUUGAUUCCCAAAACCAAAUAAGAAACUAAAAUUCUAAACCAAACUUAUUGUAUCCCUUUUCUUACAAAUCUCGGGGACGAGAUUUCUCUUAAGGGGGGUAGGAUUUGUAAUACCCACUUUGUGAGAAAAGUCUAGAAAGAGAAAUUAUAUUACUUUAUAUCUAUAUGUGUUAUCUAUGUUUCUCAUUUCGUGUGAACACCAUAUUCAAGAACAAAUGAUUAAUAAAAAGAUAUACUAAUAAAUUGUGCAUCAUGCUGAAUUUUAAUUUUUGUGUGCAUUUUAUGAUAAAUAAAAAUGAUGUUACAAGAAUUGGAAUAAAGUCCAAAGUAGAAUUUGGCAAUCUAAAAGAAACCCUAGAAAAGGAAAGAAAAUGUUAAUGUGAGUGAAAAUAAUAUAAAGUAAAUAAAUAUAAAUUUACCCAUACUAGUGUUUAUUUUGUAAUUUUAAUUUGAGUGCAAGUUCACAUUUGAAUUCAAAAUUUGAAUCAAAGAGAUUAUAAAAGGGGGAAAGAAAAAUAUAAAAGAAAAGAACAGGAAAAGCUGAAACAGGAACUGGGCCAAAACCCUAGCUGCGCGGCCCAUCUUCUUUCCCCACGCCGCUCAGCCCAGCCUCUCACACGCGACACACUUACAUGUGGGCCCCAUCUGUUAGGAGUGUCUUCUUCCUCCAGUUGUGACUUCUCCUCUGGCGCACCGCACUCCGUGAUCCUUGGCCACGUGACACCAUGGGCUCAGUCGCGCCACUCCUCCAACUCGGUCCCUGUUGUGCGGACGUGUGGGUCCGUCGCGUUGGUGCUCCCUUCAACCUCCGGACACCAGACCGGCUGCGCGGAUUCCGCGGGUCGCGCAACAGACAGCGCGCAAACGGCGGGCUCGAGCGGAUCUCGCCGUGUGGUUGUGAACGGAUGACUCCGCGUGUGCCGGGAGCCUCCCUGUUCAUCCUUCUUCUCCCCGUGCCCAUAAAUAGCGCCUGCCGAGCGGCUCCUCCACACAAUACCCCCAGCUCGGUCUCCAUAGCGCGCUGCACCUUAAGCGCUGGACCUCCCUUCAACACUCCGUCGCGCCCUACCUCUCUGCCCAACCCCACGACCACCUGUACCCUCCGAACAAUGUCGGAACGUCUCCUCAUGGCCGGUGCGGCGGAAUCGGUGUUCACCCGGGGGUGGAGCUCGCGGCAUGGCCGCCAUUGCCGCUGGGCAUAGAAAUUGGACCUCGCUACUUCACAAUAGUCGGUAAAUCCUGCACUGUCGUGUUCGCCAUGUCCCCAGCCUCGUAUUACAUCAACCAAUUUCGUGAAUCGGGCACUUGGCGUCGUACCAGGGGGGGUGCUCGCUGGCUUUCUCUGCCACGAGCGUAUUACCGUGGCCGCCUUCGGCCGGCGUGGGGAGGAAGAACUGGGUGGACCGUUGGAUGAAUAGUGGAUGACCCAGAUUGGAACCGCGUGUACCCCUUCGACUAGGAUUAAUCUGGGUCGUCGAUCCGUACGCCAGCGGUUUGGAUCUAAUCUAACGCGUAUUGUUUCGUUGAUCGGGUGCUGACCCUCGGAUUCGGAUCGGGUGGUCUGAGUGCUCAGGCGGCUGCGAUCUAAUCUAGAUGGUUGGAUCAGAUCGGGCGGCUGAGAUUGAAGCGUACCCCUUCGGCUGGGAUUUUAUGCAAAGGAGCCCCCGCAA
RNAcentral lists this long non-coding RNA (5293 nucleotides) under Zea mays. Its description in RNAcentral is "long non-coding RNA (ZMAY_LNC004913)". The record is from RNAcentral. Lineage: Eukaryota; Viridiplantae; Streptophyta; Magnoliopsida; Poales; Poaceae.